This is a long non-coding RNA of Mastomys coucha (southern multimammate mouse), 527 nucleotides long. RefSeq lists it as uncharacterized. Lineage: Eukaryota; Metazoa; Chordata; Mammalia; Rodentia; Muridae. The transcript is spliced from 5 exons. The record is from RefSeq and is a predicted model, not a curated record.
CCCAUCCGCUCCUGUUGGUUUCUGGCCUCUUUUCCUCUAGCCACCGUCCACUGCCAUGUCCUCCCUGCAUGAAACUCCUUCUCUCUUGGCAAGCAUUUUGUCACAGCUACAGAAAAAGCCUGGCACAACUGCUUAAGAGAGACACAAGAACAGAAAUACAAAGAGAGAGCCUGCAAAUAGCAGCCUGGACAAAACAAGCGUAGGGAGAGCCCAGUCCUGUAAAUGAAUAAUUACUCUCAAAAGGAACUGGGAAACAAAAAUUUCAUGUGAAAACCAUGCACAGGAUAUGAAGUCACAUACAAAUGCAACAGAGAAGAUUUUUGUUACGUUAGGAAGAAACUUCAGCAACUAUCUUCUCUGCAAGCACUGCCCUUCUAUCAAGAUUAACAUGGAUUUGAGAUUCAGACAAAUCUUUGGCAUAUGACUUCACGACUUUGUCUUCAAAGUCAAAUGACUGGCACUGUGAAGAUGCAGGUGUCUGAGGACAUGAAAACUGGCACACUUCCAUGAUACCUUCAAAAACAAGC